UAUUUUUAAUUUUAACUAAAAAGCGCAUCAAUCCGAAGCGUGUCGAGUGAGGUGCUCCAUUCCCGUUCCCAUUGCAGUUGUAGUAAGGGUCGUUGCCGUCGUCGACUACUAGACCUGUUUCCUUCUUCAGGCUGAAUUGGAAUUUUUUGAAGUAGCAAGUGAAGCCUGAUGGAACCAGAUGAAAUAAAAUCCGGUGCAUUGGUUUCUCUACAAGAUCUGUGUCCAUCGUCUCCUUUUUUCAAACAAGGAGCAUCCCUCAGAGUAGUUGGAAAGUUACUCGAAUACUCUUUAGAAACAGGCCUAGCAACAAUUAUCGAUGGUGAUAACAGUUUAAUAGUUACUAUUGAGAAUCUGAAGGACCUUAAUUUUCAAGUUGACUCUGUCUACCAAUUCAUUGGCGAACUCCUUAUCCAACCUGAUCAUGAGGGAGUUUUGCAGGCACGUGUUGGUAGAAACGUCGACGGAAUUGAUCUCGAUCUUUAUCAUCAGUCCUUGCUGCUUUUGAGACAGUUUCAAGCCAAUCAUUUGAAUAAUUGAGCAACUUAACUUUGCAGGAUUAUUUUGUACACAACAAGGCAUCAUAUUUUUCUCAGAAUACAAAAAUAUGGAAGGAAAUUAUGUCAUCAAAGGAUGUGGAUGUUAGGUGAGUUGGAUUAUGCUGUGCAUGCUUCACGGGGUCAUUUAGCUGUCCAUGUAAGGCUCUACGACAAACUUAAGGCCACCCUGGUUUUGGAAUCUGAAACUUGGGAGAGGUUGGGGGUAUUUAAGGCAACAGGGAAUACAUUUUAAUUUGCCUCAGCAUACUCUUUUUGUAAAUUGAGUAUUCUCCGCGUAUAAUUGUAAAUACUAAUCACUAAAUUUUCCAUCAAGAGUUUUAACAUUUUACUUUCUCAAAAUUAAAUUCGAACUCAAAACCUGAA
Molecule: RNA transcript, 920 nt
Organism: Cicer arietinum (chickpea)
Lineage: Eukaryota; Viridiplantae; Streptophyta; Magnoliopsida; Fabales; Fabaceae
Gene name: CST complex subunit TEN1
Source: RefSeq, a predicted model, not a curated record